Molecule: long non-coding RNA, 526 nt
Filed under: Podarcis muralis (Common wall lizard)
Lineage: Eukaryota; Metazoa; Chordata; Lepidosauria; Squamata; Lacertidae
Description: lncRNA (ENSPMRG00000014495.1)
Source: RNAcentral
CUUCGUCAUCCCCUUCUCCUUGUGCCCUCCACAGUUUGGUCAGACUCAUGUUUGUAGCUUCAAGAACACUGUCCAACCAUCUCGUCCUCUGUCAUCCCCUUCUCCUUGUCUGCUACAGGUUACUAACCCCCAAUACCAUCUGACCUACAGGUCUCCAAGUGAAUUUAAGUCUAUGUAUAUACAGUGGUACCUCGGGUUAUAUACGCUUCAGGUUACAUACACUUCAGGUUAAAGACUCUGCUAACCCAGAAAUAGUACCUUGGGUUAAGAACUUUGCUUCAGGAUGAGAACAGAAAUCGUGCUUUGGCGGCACAGCAGCAGCAGGAAGCCCCAUUAGCUAAAGUGGUGCUUCAGGUUAAGAACAGUUUCAGGUUAAGAACGUACCUCCGGAACGAAUUAAGUACUUAACCCGUGGUACCACUGUAUGUAUAGAAAAUACCUUGAUGGAAGGGGAAAUGUGGGGAUCAUAUAAUACAUUAAUAUAUAAUCUAACAUAACAAUAUAUGUGCAAAGCACAUAGACAACA